Long non-coding RNA from Gavialis gangeticus (Gharial), 1797 nucleotides. RefSeq lists it as uncharacterized. The transcript has 2 exons. The record is from RefSeq and is a predicted model, not a curated record. Lineage: Eukaryota; Metazoa; Chordata; Crocodylia; Gavialidae.
UUGAUUCUAGUAUUGCUUAUCUAGGAAGGCUGGAUGGAGGUGUUCACAGAGCUCACCAACCCCAGGUCUACAGAGAGUAUGAAAUGGCAGCAUCACUAUUCCUCUUAUGGAAAAUACUGAGGGGAAAAAAGAGGAAUAUAGCAAGGUGGCAAGAGGUGAUUUGGUAAUUUUAAAGGAUGCUUCCUGAUGACUACUUGGUUCCAGGGAAGAUUUGUAAAUCAGGAAGGAACAAAAGUGUUCAUUUUAAUUGGAAACACAGCUCACUUUGCCUGGAAAGCCUUUCAGGUAGAAGAAACCCACCAGGUUGUGUGCCAAAGAACUUCAGAAGACCUUAACCCCUGAGUGCUAUGUGAAUGCUGUAUCGGAAGCUGUUUGUCACAUCUAAUUUAAAAUGUGGGUUCUAAUAGGCUUUUUGUCAGCAGACCCAAAAGGUAAGUUAGACUCAAUUGGCAGAGAGUGAACUACCUUGAGGGGCUGGACCCACCAGUGCCAAUUGGAGACUCACUCUAUACCUGCAAGAGGGCUCUACAGCUCCCAGGCUGCUACCUUCAAAAGCUAAAAUACAUUUCUUAUUUACUUAUUCUGAAUGUAUGUUCAAAAGGCCAUAUCUUCACCAUGGUUAGGAAGGCAUUUCACUCUCCUAUUACCUGCUAUGUGCUCAAGAUAUAACCAGUUCUUGGAGGGAAAGGGAGGCAAGGAGGAAGGGAAAGAGGAAGGGACAAAAGGUAAGUUUAUAUGCACUGUAUGGGUAUACGGGGCAUGUCUACACAUGCAAUUAAUGCAACUGAAUAUACUCUGGCUUAAUUUGAGCCAGGGCAAACUAAUCUCAAUCUGCAUCUACAUGUGCAUUUAAGCACAGCAAUUUACUGAGCUGCCAAAUACCACUUGUUUCUGACAGGACUAUCCAGCAGCACAGUAAAUUAAGUCUUCUGUACCCUAAUUGCCACGCAUAUUUAAAAGGUGAUGCUUUACUGUGCAGCAAAUCAGUCUACUGUGCACUAAAGCAUCUCAUAUAGAUGUGCCUACAGAAAAGCAGUUUUAUUCAAGUUUACUUGAAAAGCUAACGAGAAUUUGUUUUCUUUAAAAUAAAGACUUACUAGUUUCAGCUGCCUACUUACUAUAAUAGUCACAAUGCUUUAUGCAAAAAAGUAGCUUUAUCUUACUUUUCAGUUGUUAAAGGACAUGCAAUAGCCCUGAGGCUUCAUGAAAAGUUACAACUUAAGGUGAAUUAAACACAGGUAUUUGCAGCAGGAGUGACUGACUACUUUGACAUUCCUUGCAUGUCUUUGCAUGUAUAAUGUUGAGGGUAUACACUUUUGUGUAGGCUUUUUACAGCAUAUUUAACCAUUGUGGCCCCCCCUACUAAGUGUCUAUUAUCAAUAGUGAAUUAUUCCGUUAAACUUCCAGUCUUAAUCAAGCUGGUUUUCAAAUGAUGAAAAGAAAAAGAAAAUGGCAACUUUGAAGUAACUUUGAAAGACGAAUUGGAUCAAAAGCCAAUAACUUUUCACUUGGGGUUGCCUGUUUGAACUGGGCUUAAUCAGUAUUGACUGAGAGUUGUCAGUUGGUGGUGAGCUGGCCCAGUAUUCAGGCCAUAUCAUACAAUCACCACCAUUUAAAUUAGUUUGCAGCCUCCUAGGCAUCUCAGCACAGAAGAGGAGUGUUGAGUAGGCAUGAAUGCAAAACUGAUCAUUUACUCCUAUGCAGAAUCUCUCCAUGAGGCAGGUCAGGGGGUGUGGUGUGGUGUGGUGGCUCGCUGUUAUUGUGACACCUGCCAUGUACGAGGCCACAGGUUGGUAU